RNAcentral lists this ribosomal RNA (439 nucleotides) under uncultured bacterium. Its description in RNAcentral is "partial 16S ribosomal RNA". It matches the Rfam family "Bacterial small subunit ribosomal RNA", at positions 342 to 795 of the family's 1533-position model. The record is from RNAcentral.
CGGGAGGCUGCACCAGUGAGGAAUAUUGCACAAUGGGGGGAACCCUGAUGCAGCAACGCCGCGUGGAGGAUGACGCAUUUCGGUGUGUAAACUCCUUUUAUAUGUCAAGAAAAUGACGGUAGCAUAUGAAUAAGCACCGGCUAACUCCGUGCCAGCAGCCGCGGUAAUACGGAGGGUGCAAGCGUUACUCGGAAUCACUGGGCGUAAAGGACGCGUAGGCGGGUUGGAAAGUCAGGUGUGAAAUCCUACAGCUUAACUGUAGAACUGCACUUGAAACUUCUAAUCUAGAGUAUGGGAGGGGGAGAUGGAAUUAGUGGUGUAGGGGUAAAAUCCGUAGAUAUCACUAGGAAUACCUAAAGCGAAGGCGAUCUCCUGGAACAUUACUGACGCUAAGGCGUGAAAGCAUGGGGAGCAAACAGGAUUAGAUACCCGCGUAGUC